Cinara cedri is the source of this 917-nucleotide non-coding RNA. The record is from the annotation of a GenBank genome assembly. Lineage: Eukaryota; Metazoa; Arthropoda; Insecta; Hemiptera; Aphididae.
CCCCCGCCAAUCCCGUUGGCGGCGUAUUGUGGUCGACCGUAUUGUUUUCGGCCGGACCACGAGUGCUGAAAUCCUUCCUCGACGUUAUCGUGUCGCGUACGGGUCGCGUAAAGGCGGGUGGGUACGGUCCGGGAAGGGUCGCGCGUAAAAAGAAUACUAUACGUGCCGGAAACAUCAAAAGUUAAUUUUGUCGUUCUCCCGUGAAUGAUGAAAUACGCGAAAGUGCAAACGCCGACGACGAUAGAAAAAAAAAAAUUACACAUAUACACGUCGUGCAGUUAUGUUAUUGUGUCGUUUGGCGCGUGUUUUUACUUUACUAGCAAAAGUUCUUUAUUUUUUUUUGUUGAAAAUACGUCGGUAACCUACGUGCUGAUGAAAAACACAAUAAAAAGUCGUAAAAAAACAAAACAAACAAAGAAACGCCAUAAACAUCGGUCUUUUCCUUCGCGUUUUCCACGGAUCGAAAUAACAAAUAAAAGAGCAUGUACAAAAAGUUGGGGAUGGUAGAAUUUAUUAUACAUAGUGUAAUAUCACUAUUAUAACUAUAUACCCGACAGUUCUCCGUUGACAACGAAAAACGAUUCUGAGCAAUGUUCUGUUAAACGUACAUUUUAAAACGUCACGAUCUCUGUGAUUUCCAUGCAACCCUAAAUCCCUACUAUUAAGUAGUAAUAUAAUUGGUAGGCUGAACUUUUAUUAUGAUUAAAGAUAAAUUAUUCUUUGUAGUACCAAAAACUAGAUCAAUUAUUUUAUAUUGUAUAGGUACAUUUUUGUACCUACUCCUCUAUAUUUUAUACUUUGAAGGUACUUCUACGUAAUAUCCUAUUAUUUCAAAUAUUUUUGUCUUCUAUUACUAUACUUAGUGUCUUAGUCUAUUACUAUCACACCCUACCACAACUUUAUAUUUCCCCCCCCCU